RNAcentral lists this long non-coding RNA (253 nucleotides) under Lathyrus oleraceus (garden pea). RNAcentral describes it as "Pisum sativum (pea) long non-coding RNA (PSAT_LNC003924)". The record is from RNAcentral. Lineage: Eukaryota; Viridiplantae; Streptophyta; Magnoliopsida; Fabales; Fabaceae.
AAACAUGUUGCACCUAUUCCACGCACGGAAGGAUGGAUCAAAAUAAUAUGUGGGAACUUGGAUAAAACCAUCAACAAAAUCGAACUUCAGUUUACCACCAAGAGUGCGACGCAUUGAUCUUGCCCAAGAAUGGUAAUUAGAAUCUUCAAGAUCUGGUGUAACUUUGACUGAGGAAGGUCCAUCAUUUGGAUGAGCGUAAUAGGGAUUGGUUGGAUCAGAAGUUGGUUUCGGUGGAGGAGGUCGUGGCAGAGCC